AGACAGACAGCCGCCAGGAGAGGAGGACCCGGCGGAGCUCUAACUUGAAGCUCCGCUGGGUUCCUCUCGCGAGAUCCGGCGCAUUGCCAUGGCAACGACCAGAUCUUGCGAGAGUGAACUCUAGCCCCACAGGCUAUGCGGGCUAGAGUUCACUCACCCACAAGGACCACCAGGGAACACUGCCACCCAGUCCCAGCGUGCCGGUCCCCCCCCUCCCAGGCUGAAGGUAAGAAGGGAGGGGGGGAUUUAAUGCCUGUUUUUUUGUUUUUAUUUACCCCCCUACAGACACACAAUCCAUUCUAACAUUUAU
Non-coding RNA from Pelobates cultripes (western spadefoot toad), 310 nucleotides. The record is from the annotation of a GenBank genome assembly. NCBI's taxonomy places the organism in Eukaryota, Metazoa, Chordata, Amphibia, Anura, Pelobatidae.